GAGAUAGGCUGGGACACUGAGAACUGCUAAUUACUCACCACCGUGGUUCAAUUCCACGGCUAACUCG
RNAcentral lists this transfer RNA (67 nucleotides) under Spea bombifrons (plains spadefoot toad). RNAcentral's name for it is "tRNA-Ser". Lineage: Eukaryota; Metazoa; Chordata; Amphibia; Anura; Pelobatidae. The record is from RNAcentral.